GCCGCCCUAGCUCAGCGUGGUAGAGCGUCGGACUGUUAAUCCGUUGGUCGCCAGUCCAAGUCUGGCGGGCGGCGCCU
RNAcentral lists this transfer RNA (77 nucleotides) under Nitrosopumilales archaeon. RNAcentral describes it as "tRNA-Asn". It matches the Rfam family "tRNA". From Rfam's summary of the family: Transfer RNA (tRNA) molecules are approximately 80 nucleotides in length. Their secondary structure includes four short double-helical elements and three loops (D, anti-codon, and T loops). RNAcentral also lists the same sequence under 1 other name. Lineage: Archaea; Thermoproteati; Nitrososphaerota; Nitrososphaeria; Nitrosopumilales. The record is from RNAcentral.